This 100-nucleotide ribosomal RNA is filed under the name uncultured bacterium. RNAcentral describes it as "partial 16S ribosomal RNA". The record is from RNAcentral.
GGAUACGUAAAACUCUGUUGGUAGAGAAGAACGUUGGUGAGAGUGGAAAAGCUCAUCAAGUGACGGUAACUACCCAGAAAGGGACGGCUAACUACGUGCC